AUACGGAGGGUGCAAGCGUUACUCGGAAUCACUGGGCGUAAAGCGCGCGCAGGCGGUCUUUUAAGUUGGAUGUGAAAGCCUACGGCUCAACCGUAGAACUGCAUCCAAAACUAUUUAGCUAGAGUGUGGGAGAGGAAGAUGGAAUUAGUUGUGUAGGGGUAAAAUCCGUAGAGAUAACUAGGAAUACCAAAAGCGAAGGCAAUCUUCUGGAACACUACUGACGCUGAGGCGCGAAAGCGUGGGGAGCAAACAGGAUUAGAAACCCUAGUAGUCC
RNAcentral lists this ribosomal RNA (274 nucleotides) under uncultured bacterium. RNAcentral describes it as "partial 16S ribosomal RNA". It matches the Rfam family "Bacterial small subunit ribosomal RNA", at positions 523 to 796 of the family's 1533-position model. The record is from RNAcentral.